UUUGUAUAAAAUUUUGAUUGUUGCUCAGAAAGCCGUGUCUUUUAAGCAAAUCGCUUUCGAGUAGUAAUCAAAGUCAAAUAAAAC
Anopheles farauti is the source of this 84-nucleotide non-coding RNA. The record is from Rfam. NCBI's taxonomy places the organism in Eukaryota, Metazoa, Arthropoda, Insecta, Diptera, Culicidae.